Molecule: long non-coding RNA, 1456 nt
Organism: Lolium perenne
Lineage: Eukaryota; Viridiplantae; Streptophyta; Magnoliopsida; Poales; Poaceae
Source: RefSeq, a predicted model, not a curated record
GCCCAUUUGCUGGCCCAUCUAGGCCGACCGCGCCAGCUCAACCUGGUCGUCUUCUUCACCCUUCACGUACGCAUACGAGCGUUAACAUCUCCAUGACAGUCAAAGCUUUCCUCCCUUCUCCCCUCAAAUCUAGCUAACGUUUCUUGUCGACUUCAACACGAGAAUUACUCAGUACUAAAUGAGGAAUCCGUUCAGGGAAAUUAUUUCCCACUUCAUGGCCUUAAUUUGUCAAACCGUCCAGGUGCACCGAAUGCCACCCGACGGCAUAGACCUCCCGAUCUCCCACCUCAGUCCAUUCCGGGAAGAUCUGAGCGCGUCACUUUGAGCCUCUCCUCCUCCUCCCUCAUUUUCGUUCUCAAAGUUUCUUGAGAGGAGAUCUGUACAACCCAUGCCGACCAUGCCCAUCGCAGCCCAAAUUCGAGUUCAUCGCUGGAUCCUAUCGAUCUCGGUGAUCGUCUCGUGGAUUCCCUGUACCAAUAGACUCCCCUCAUCAAUAUCAACCUCUAUGGCAAGGUGCUGGAUCAUAUGGUCGCUGUUGGCCGCGACAUCAUGUGAGUUCAUCUUGACGGACAUGAUGGUGCAGCAUUUCGUCGCCAAAGUUCCGCCUCGGUCGCUGCAGUUUUCGCCAAUUCCAGCGACACCCAAAACGAUGCUAGCGCCAACCUUUGAAGGUGACCGUCGACGGCCGCCUCUCGCCACUGUCCCAGGAAGCGCACGACGGCACAAAGAGCAACAUCGGACUCGCCGCGUCGUGCUGAACCUCGUAUACCACCUCGUCAUGCACUUUCCUGGAGGAGCAGCGGAGCAUCGCCGAUAACUGCCGCCGGAGUGCAGAACUACCACGAGCAAGCGUCGCUAUUUCGUAUGGAGAGCGACAUGUUUUGUUGAAAGAAAAGAUAACGCUCAUCAACUACCAAAAAGGCAAGUGACACACCCUCACAAAUGUCCUAGAUUUUAUUCAUGCACCGUACUGAUUUUUGUAGUAUGUCUAGGGUAUAUGCUUUGCUUUUGUAAUCCCAGUAGAUAGCUACUUCCACCUGACUAUAUUUUGUCGCCAUUGAAUUUAGUUGAUGCUUAGCUAUGCUAUGAAAAUGUUUUAGUAGUGGUUAUGGAAAAACAACUAAAUUCAAUGAACUACCUGGGUGGAAUGUGGCUUGGAUUGGAUUAUGUUGAGUGGUUACACCGGAGUCAUAUCUAUGGCGGUCGUGUGUAUCACACUUGUGGACUGCCACCCAGGAACAAAGAGAUAAUAGACAACCUUGCUCAUUAGCUUACCGUACAACCACAUGCUAUAUGGGCUCUGGCUUGACAGAGUAUGUUGUGAGAACCCGGAUCCUACGUGACAGAUGAUGUACGGGAUUGUAGGUUGGUACGGGUCCGUAGAGAAAGGUCUGGGGGAUUACUUCGGAAAAGUCUCAUCCUAGUCAACAUCUGUCCAUUUGAGCAAAAUGUGCAU